This 550-nucleotide ribosomal RNA is filed under the name uncultured Phycisphaera sp. RNAcentral's name for it is "bacterial SSU rRNA". It matches the Rfam family "Bacterial small subunit ribosomal RNA", at positions 77 to 646 of the family's 1533-position model. The record is from RNAcentral. Lineage: Bacteria; Pseudomonadati; Planctomycetota; Phycisphaerae; Phycisphaerales; Phycisphaeraceae.
CGGGACCGCAGGGUCAGUGGCGCCGGGUGAGUAAUGUAUCGCUAAUGUACCCCGGUGUCUGGGAUAGCUGACCGAAAGGUCAGGUAAUACCAGAUGAUAUAACUUGAUCGCAUGAUCGAGUUCUCAAAGGAGCAAUCCGUACUGGGAGCAGGCGAUAUCGUAUCAGCUUGUUGGUGAGGUAACGGCUCACCAAGGCGACGACGCGUAGCUGGUCUGAGAGGACGGCCAGCCACAUCGGGACUGAGACACUGCCCGGACUCCUACGGGGGGCUGCAGUAACGAAUCUUCCGCAAUGCACGAAAGUGUGACGGAGCGACGCCGCGUGUGGGACGAAGCCCUUCGGGGUGUAAACCACUGUCAGGGGUAAGAAAGUUCUGAUCUACCCCAGAGGAAGGCACGGCUAACUCUGUGCCAGCAGCCGCGGUAAGACAGAGGUGCCGAGCGUUAGGCGGAAUCACUGGGCUUAAAGCGUGUGUAGGCGGGUCGUCAAGUGCCUUGUGAAAUCCCACAGUUCACCUGUGGAACUGCUUGGCAUACUGGCGAUCUUGAG